GGAGGGUUACCCAAGCGGUCAACGGGGGCAGACUGUAAAUCUGCUGGCACAGCCUUCGGAGGUUCGAAUCCUCCACCCUCCA
This 82-nucleotide transfer RNA is filed under the name Spiribacter salinus M19-40. It matches the Rfam family "tRNA". Rfam says of the family: Transfer RNA (tRNA) molecules are approximately 80 nucleotides in length. Their secondary structure includes four short double-helical elements and three loops (D, anti-codon, and T loops). The record is from Rfam by way of RNAcentral. Lineage: Bacteria; Pseudomonadati; Pseudomonadota; Gammaproteobacteria; Chromatiales; Ectothiorhodospiraceae.